CCUGUGUGCGCCUGUCCCUGUCAUCUUCUUCGGCAGGCGCACUGUCUUCAGUUCCCCAAAGGUGCUAGAGACAAAACGCCAGCAUCAGAGCCUGCUGCUAGCUGUGGAUGCUCGGUGCAUGGUAAGCAGCUGAGGGUCCGGAGAAAGGCGAGGAAAAUAAUUAAAAGGUGGAGAAAGAAGCUGGAGAAGAAGAAAGGGACGAAUUGUCUGUGAAUACUUCUGGAAAUGGUGGAGGCUUCAGGAAACUGUCCUUGCUGCCAUCACCCCAGCUACCAAGGAGGACCUGUGGCCUGCCAGCUCUGCAAGCCGUCACCCUGAAAUAUACAAUGCUGGGGUCAACAGUGUCACCGCCUCUGGUCAGUAGAUGAGAAAUCCAAGGGACAAAGAGCAAAAGUGGCUGGAUUCAAGGCACAGGCGAGUUCCUGUCCUUGGUCCCCAGGGACAGUGCUGGUCAGUGAUGCUCCAGGUGCCUUUGUGAUGAAGGAUCAUGGAAGACCAACACUAACGAUGGCAGAGGGAUAGACAGAAUUAAGAAGCAAAAAGAAGGGUGGGGAUGAAAAAAAAAAAUCGAUGAAGUACCUUUCGCUCUGUGGAGAUAAGCGACAUUAAAUAUCAGCCGUUAUGAA
This is a long non-coding RNA of Nannospalax galili (Upper Galilee mountains blind mole rat), 626 nucleotides long. RefSeq lists it as uncharacterized. NCBI's taxonomy places the organism in Eukaryota, Metazoa, Chordata, Mammalia, Rodentia, Spalacidae. The transcript has 2 exons. The record is from RefSeq and is a predicted model, not a curated record.